This is a long non-coding RNA of Arvicola amphibius (Eurasian water vole), 3279 nucleotides long. RefSeq lists it as uncharacterized. NCBI's taxonomy places the organism in Eukaryota, Metazoa, Chordata, Mammalia, Rodentia, Cricetidae. The record is from RefSeq and is a predicted model, not a curated record. The transcript is spliced from 3 exons.
UACCUUUACUCGGUGAUCCGUCUUGCCAGCCCAGCAUGUGUGGAGUUUUAGAAGAUGGCCUGGAUUCUUUAAUGACUAAGUACACUUUACCUCCAAAUGAGAGAGAAAAACAUCCUAGAACAGCCAAGAUGUAAGAGAUCCAUGGAGCAAUUCUUAAGGAGCUUCAGGGGUGAAUGCCAGAUCUUCUCUUGUGCAGAUCAACAGCAGAAUUGCUUCUUCAGAAGCAGCCUGAUCAUGGAAUAAGAAUUCUGUUUAGGGAUACUGAAGCAAGACAUGCACCUGAGAUGAGCCAAGCCAAGCCAAGUCCUGUGGGAGCCUCGUUAUAUGAACCUGUAUGUGUUCUCAGAAUAAUUUGAGAGGGAGGUAAGAUGGAGGAUCCAGGCUAAGAACACAUAUCCCUUGGCCAAGCUGUGUGGAAAGCCGGUCAGCACAUCCAGCCACCAGAAGAGUGUGAAUCAGACAACAGAGAAGAUCACUUCAUAUAUCAAAUGUACUCAGCCAUGGGAAGCUUGAAGAACAAAUUACUACAUGGUUGGUGGGAUGUAGCAUCAUGCAGCUGUUAAGAAAACAGCCCAGCAGUGUCUCAAAUGAUAGACUGUAUGACCAUGCAAUCCCACCCCUAACUCCACAUACACAAGAAAAAUGAAAUCAUGUCCCUACAACUUCUACACAGAUGUUUGUACUAUCGUCAUUCAUGCUAGUCAAAAGACAAGAUACCCUACAUGUCAGUCUACCAACAAAUGAUGAAUAAAAUGUGCUCUAUCCACACGAUAGAACAGCGCCUGGCUGUCAAGAGGGGAGAAGUGCUAACACAUGCUACAAUGUGGCUUGAAAUUUUAUAUUCAAAGAACUUGAAGGGCUGAGUUCAUUGAAAAAACUGAACAUUAACUACCUGAAAAUAUUAUAAUUAUGUUUUUUAAAAGAAGAUGGAAUAAUCCAGAGUUACCAUGACAAUGUAAUGCUAAACAUGUCUUGGACUGGGCCAGCAUGCAUCUAAAAAUGUUUGUCAGCUGAGUAUGUUACAUGGGGACUGUGGCAUCUACCUGCUCAGCCAGCAGAUGGCUCAGCAUGGACGACACUCUAAGCUGAUGGCUAGCCUUGUGGGUCCUACUCACUAUUGUCUCUAGCUGGAGGUCCACUGGACCAGAGUUCCAAAGUCUUCUGCACAGCCCUGACUCCAAGGAACAUGGAAAAGAAAGUCCUUCAGGACCCUGGCGAGUCUCAUUAAACAUCUCUGUGCUCUGGUGGGUCUCAUUAAACAUCAUUAAUCAUCUCUGUUCCCUGGCCUGUCCUGGCCCACCAUGACUCCAGAACAAAGGGGUUCUCUGAACCAGUAGAUCUUUUCACAUCUAGACAAUAAAGAUGCCCCAUUAAAGUCUCUCACUGAGAGACACGGUGACCCAGGUGCAGAUUCAGGAUGAGGUUGUAGUCCAAGUCUUUGAUGCUACCAAAGGCCAAUUGACCCUGGACAUGUCACUGGAGGGCUAGUGACAAGGUCAGAGCACACAAGGACUGCAUGCAGAGACAUGCUAAAGGCCAUACCCCCCCCCCCACUGCAAGAGACAGACUACAGCUAUGUUGCUGAGGGUUCUGCAGCCAGAAGUGCCACAGGAUGUUCACUGGUACCUCAAUGGCUGCGGUGACAAAGGACCUCAUCAGGUCUUUUAAACAACAGAGAUGUGUGCUUGCCCCAACCUGGAGACCAAGGCGUGGGCAUGGCUGGUGAUUUCUGGGGCUCUGAGGAAGAGUCUACUCCAGGCACCUCUCCUCAGCUGUGUGGGAGCCUGCAGAUUUGACUCCAUUUCAGAAAGUUCAAACCUAUUCUUGACACUCAAGGCCAGAUAGCUGGGUGUUUGAUCUGAGGCUUGGUUACUGGAUGCUUUGAGAAUUGAUGAAGAAUCAUACUCAUUGGUUCCUUGUCUCAUGGUCUUGGAUUCUAGGCAUAUGCCCAACCCCCUGGCUGCCACUCAAAUUUCUGAUGGACGAAGCUGUCCUUGUUCCUCCUUGGCUUGCAGACCAUUGCCCUAGCAUCUGUCUUCACCUUCACAUGAUUCUGGGCUUAGGGUUAAGGACAGAAGAAAUGGGUCAUGGAAUUUGUCCCCAAGAUUAAGGAAAGCUGCUGAGACCAAGCAUGCAUCAGGGGAGCUCUGGAAUGGAGGCCUGAGAGACCUUGGCAUGAAGCUGAGAAGUUGAAGGCUGGAUUGCCUUGGAGACUCAAGGAUGUUAGAGAUGCCAGAGUCAUGGGAUACCUGCCAAGAAGAGAUACUAACAGGGAGUAGAAUCAGCCCACGAGAAAGAAGAGUGUUGUAGUCAACAGAACUGAACAGAGUUGGAGAUGUGAAGAGUAUUUUGACAUCAGACAUGGAGAUGCAGAGUUUGGAUUUUGCCCAGCUGGUUUCUGGUCUGGUCCAGAAUUUCCUUGCUUUGCUCUCAUCCCUGAGUUUUGGAAUGGUAACAUAUAUCCUGCGCCAUUAUAUGUUGGAAGUAUGUGAUCUGCUUUUUGAUUUUUAUUUUUACAUGUGAUUACAGUUAAGAGUUUGCAUGAAUCUCAGAAGACACUUUGAACUUUGGAGUUUAAAGCAUUGUUGAGAUUGUGAUGGACUAAGGGGACUUUUGAAGUUGGACUAAAUGCAUUUUGCCUUGAUAUUGUUACAUACUUAUGGGGGCCAGGGAAUGGAAUGUGGUAGUUUGAAUGUGAUUGGCCUCCAUAAUCUCACAGGGAGUGGCACUGUUAGGAUAUGUGACGUUGUAGGAGUGGGUAUGGCCUUGUUGGAGGAAGUGUGUCAGUGUGGGGAUGGUCUUUGAGGUUUCCUAUGCUCAGGACACAUCCCAGUGUCUCAACUGACUUCCAGUUGCCUGCAAGAUGUAGGAUUCUCAACAACUUUGCCAGCACCAUAUCUGCCUGCACACUGCCAUGCUCCCCACCAUGAUGAUAAUGAACUGAACCUCUGAAACUGUAAGCAAGCCACUUCAAUUACAUGUUGUUCUUUAUAAGAAUAGCCAUGGUCAUGGGAUCCCUUUGUAACAACAGAUACCCUAACUAAGAGUCAUCUACUUGGGGGUGACAAUACCUAUAAUGGGCUGGGCUCUCCCACAUCAAUCAUUAAGAAAAUGCCCCACAGGCUACUAGAGUGGGGGCAUUUUUUUCAAUUGAGAUUUCUUCUUCCCAUAUGUUCUAGCUUGUGUCAAGUUGAUAAAAGAACUAGCUAGGACACUUUGUUUAUUUAGACAGGCUCUCACUACGUAAUCCUGGUUCCAAACUCACAAAUCCACCUGCCU